This is a long non-coding RNA of Spinacia oleracea (spinach), 809 nucleotides long. RefSeq lists it as uncharacterized. NCBI's taxonomy places the organism in Eukaryota, Viridiplantae, Streptophyta, Magnoliopsida, Caryophyllales, Amaranthaceae. The record is from RefSeq and is a predicted model, not a curated record. The transcript has 5 exons.
UUUAUGUUGUUCAAGAGGGUUUUACAGAAUUUUAUGGUCUAAUGUCAUGAGGAAUUUUCUAAUGUUUUGUAUUUUGAUGAACUUUUCAGAUAUACAAAUCAUUUUCCAUGCUCAAUUUGCAAUUUUGGGUACAUUUUUCUCUACGAUUUGCAUUAUUAUUUGUUCUAUUACAAGAGAACAUAGUAAACUUGACCAUAUUUUAAUGGGGAAAGACAUAGGGUUUGGACCAGACUUGUGACAUUUUGGUUGCUUUAGAUUUUUAGAAAUUUUUUUAUAGAAAUUUUUUGUCUAAUUUGCAGGGGAACUUUUAAUCCUUUGUUUUAACUUUUUCAGGGUAGAAGUUGUAGAUAAAUUGCUUAGUGCAUUUGCUUUAUAAGGGACAAUGAUGUAUCACAUAUCUUGGCAAAAUAACGAGGACUACAUUGGAAGUUUGGAGUUUCAGAAAGAUAUCAAGCCUUGAAGGAAACUACCAGUUGGGAUCUUCAAGUGGAACAAAAAUUUACAGGAACUUGAAUAUUGCAGAAGUCGGGUAUUUCAAAAAGGCGGGAACUUAUUCCUGAAGUUACACAAUUUCAAAUACCACAGUCAGAAAGCAAAAAUGGAGAUAAUGAGCAAAAAUAGCAAAAGCAUAAAAGAACUCCAACAAAUUUAUUUGGAACAAGAAGAUAACCAGAUUAAAGGAAAAAGAAUAAGAGUCAUCAACGACAUGGCAAAGGAAUAGGCUCGUGGGUGUGGAUGCAGGACAUCAACACCACAAGGAUAAAAUAUUUUUGUUUCUUAUAUAUUAGGUGUUGUAAACACAUUGGACG